This 471-nucleotide ribosomal RNA is filed under the name uncultured bacterium. Its description in RNAcentral is "partial 16S ribosomal RNA". It matches the Rfam family "Bacterial small subunit ribosomal RNA", at positions 29 to 507 of the family's 1533-position model. The record is from RNAcentral.
ACGCACGCUGGCGGCGUGCUUAACACAUGCAAGUCGAACGAUGAACCCGGAGCUUGCUCUGGGGGAUUAGUGGCGAACGGGUGAGUAACACGUGAGUAACCUGCCCUGGACUCUGGGAUAAGCGUUGGAAACGACGUCUAAUACCGGAUAGGACCUUGGAUCGCAUGAUCUGGGGUGGAAAGUUUUUUCGGUCUGGGAUGGACUUGCGGCCUAUCAGCUUGUUGGUGAGGUAAUGGCUCACCAAGGCGUCGACGGGUAGCCGGCCUGAGAGGGUGACCGGCCACACUGGGACUGAGACACGGCCCAGACGCCUACGGGAGGCAGCAGUGGGGAAUAUUGCACAAUGGGCGAAAGCCUGAUGCAGCAACGCCGCGUGCGGGAUGACGGCCUUCGGGUUGUAAACCGCUUUUAGUAGGGAAGAAGGGCUUCGGCUUGACGGUACCUGCAGAAAAAGGACCGGCUAACUACGUG